RNAcentral lists this ribosomal RNA (429 nucleotides) under uncultured archaeon. RNAcentral's name for it is "bacterial SSU rRNA". It matches the Rfam family "Archaeal small subunit ribosomal RNA", at positions 474 to 903 of the family's 1478-position model. The record is from RNAcentral.
UACCAGCUCUCCGAGUGGUAGGGAUGAUUAUUGGGCUUAAAGCGUCCGUAGCCGGCUUAGCAAGUUUCCUGUUAAACUCAGCGACCUAAUCGUUGAACCGCGGGAAAUACUACUAGGCUAGGAGGCGGGAGAGGUCAACGGUACUUCCGGGGUAGGGGUGAAAUCCUAUAAUCCCGGGAGGACCACCAGUGGCGAAGGCUGUUGACUAGAACGCGCUCGACGGUGAGGGACGAAAGCUGGGGGAGCGAACCGGAUUAGAUACCCGGGUAGUCCCAGCUGUAAACGAUGCGAGCUAGGUGUUGGGGUGGCUACGUGCCACUUCAGUGCCGCAGGGAAGCCAUUAAGCUCGCCGCCUGGGGAGUACGGCCGCAAGGCUGAAACUUAAAGGAAUUGGCGGGGGAGCACCACAAGGCGUGAAGCUUGCGGUUC